UAUCCCCCCAGGACCUGCUCCGGGCCGUCAGUGGGACCUUCAUCUUCCUCGUGGUUGCCCUGGUGGCCUUGGCCUCGUCCCGGGACGCCCUGGCUGCCACCACCUUUACCUUCAGCCUCGUCCUCGCCUUCAUCUUCGCCUUCGACGUCUUCGUCACCUACCGCACGCGGGUGGGGCCCGCGCUGGGACAGGACCCCGACAUGGAGGAGACCUGAAGGCCACCCCCCUUCAUCCCCUGGUGUCCCAUCGUCCCCUGGUGUCCCAUCGUCCCCUGGUGUCCCGCCCCGACCCCCCCUCCCACCUCACAACCCUCCCCCCCAAACAAAACCCCCCCAAAUGAAACCUCU
Corapipo altera (White-ruffed manakin) is the source of this 347-nucleotide long non-coding RNA. RefSeq lists it as uncharacterized. The transcript is spliced from 3 exons. NCBI's taxonomy places the organism in Eukaryota, Metazoa, Chordata, Aves, Passeriformes, Pipridae. The record is from RefSeq and is a predicted model, not a curated record.